UUAUUUUUUCCUAAUCUUAUUCUAAAGUUUCCCAAUCUGCUGAUCUAAUCAUCCAAUGUAUGCCCACUUUGAUGCUUUUAUAGUUGGAGUUAUGACUAUUAAAGUUGAAAGGCUUAAAGUUUCAUAUUGGAGAACUCAACGAUCAUACCUCAUUGCUUGAAAGGUUUGUGUUAUAUUGAUCUAUCCAACUAUGAAAUCCUAAAUUAGUUUCCAACUAUGCUACAAAGAGAAUGGGAGAACAUGGCAAGUAGAGAAACCAAAUUUUAGAAUAGGAGACACCUCAUGUCAUGUACCAUUUUAUUCCAUGUCUCUAUAUAAGAUCAUUACUUUAGAGAACGUGAAUACACUUGCUAAGUUGCUAAACAUUCUGUUUGCCUCCUAUGGUUACUAAUAUUUUGAGGUUUAACUUUUGUUGGUAGAAAAUAUUAAAAGAAGGGAGGGAAGAAGGUUAGGUAGGAAAAAAUUAUGUAAAGAGUGAUUUUAGGUUGGUUGGUCAUUCCUAAGGGUGGACUUCUCUCCCUUGAAGAAAGUGUUAUUUGCUGGUCUUUGCUGCUUUACACAUUGAAAUUAGAAUGAGUGAACUUUUAAUUGGUGUUUACCAAUUUAUUAAUUCUAAUCCACUUGAUUUUAAAUUAUAUUUAGUUCUUUUACGUCACCUUCUAUGUACUUCAUCAUUUUAUUUUGCUCAUGAUUUAUGAUUUCUUUGUUUACUUCAAUUUUUGAAUUGUUCAAAUUGAAGAUAUUUGGCUCUUAGCUUUUAUUCUUGAUAACUGUAUAUGACUCUAAAAUCUAUAUAAUGGAUAUUUCAACUUAACAACUCCACUAAUUGGAGAAGUGAUGACUUCUCCGUGGUAGUUGCUCGGAACACAGGGGCAUCUCCUUAACAACCUAUAGUAUUAAUCAAACUCCCCAAAAGUCAAUCUCAUCUAGCUAACUGCUUUCAAAACUUUAUGCUUGACUGUGUUUUUUUGGGUUACUUUUUUAAGCAAGAAAACAGCUUUUGAUAAUGGGACUGAUACUUUUGUCUGAGUUUCAUUUUUCUUGAUUUUCAGUGAAGAGGAAACUAAGAAGAUUUUUUUUCAGUAUUUCUCGUGAUUGUGAGAUGAGAUGUACUCUGGACUUGGAUGCAAGAUUGAUGAGGAGACAUUUGAUAAGCUAGAAGGCCUGUAAUAGAAGUAUUGUAUGUAUUUGCCUCAGUAAUUCUUUCUGUUGCAAUUGUGUUUGAUCUUUUUUUCUAUUUCAAUAGGGUUGCCUGUAGUUUUGUGUGUUCUCUUGGAUUAUAUGUUGAUCCUGAUGAGCAUCUAUGAUGUGUUGAUUUAAGUCUUGAGCUUUUAUUUUUCUCCCUCUUAUUACCAUUCAUGUUUGCGCACCCACCUUUUUUCUUGCAACAAUUGGAUAAUUAGGUUGAUA
This 1410-nucleotide long non-coding RNA is filed under the name Lotus japonicus. RNAcentral describes it as "long non-coding RNA (LJAP_LNC001363)". The record is from RNAcentral. Lineage: Eukaryota; Viridiplantae; Streptophyta; Magnoliopsida; Fabales; Fabaceae.